GACGUAGGUGACAAGCGUUAUCCGGAAUUACUGGGCGUAAAGCGCACGCAGGCGGCGCAUUAAGUCUGACGUGAAAUCUCCUGGCUUAACUGGGAGGGGUCGUUGGAGACUGAUGUGCUUGAGGCGAUGAGAGGGGUGUAGAAUUCCCGGUGUAGUGGUGGAAUGCGUAGAUAUCGGGAGGAAUACCAGUGGCGAAAGCGACACCCUGGCAUUAGCCUGACGCUCAUGUGCGAAGGCGUGGGGAGCGAACGGG
RNAcentral lists this ribosomal RNA (253 nucleotides) under uncultured bacterium. RNAcentral describes it as "partial 16S ribosomal RNA". It matches the Rfam family "Bacterial small subunit ribosomal RNA", at positions 524 to 776 of the family's 1533-position model. The record is from RNAcentral.